Molecule: ribosomal RNA, 258 nt
Filed under: Pantoea sp. PNT03
Lineage: Bacteria; Pseudomonadati; Pseudomonadota; Gammaproteobacteria; Enterobacterales; Erwiniaceae
Description: partial 23S ribosomal RNA
Rfam family: Bacterial large subunit ribosomal RNA
Source: RNAcentral
CGGAGUGAACGCACCACUGGUGUUCGGGUUGUCAUGCCAAUGGCACUGCCCGGUAGCUAAGUGCGGAAAAGAUAAGUGCUGAAAGCAUCUAAGCACGAAACUUGCCCCGAGAUGAGUUCUCCCUGACUCCUUGAGAGUCCUGAAGGGACGUUGAAGACUACGACGUUGAUAGGCCGGAUGUGUAAGCGCAGCGAUGCGUUGAGCUAACCGGUACUAAUGACCCGUGAGGCUUAACCUUACAACGCCAGAGGCGUUUUG